AUCGCGAUUCAUUUUUUUAAUCUCUUGACAGCCCUAAAACUUAUAUAUAUUUUUGUCUCCACUUGUAGCUAGGAGAAACUAAUUCACAUUUCCCUGGGCUGCUACAGGAGAUGGUGGAAACUGGCAAAAUCAGCAGUGCAGUGCCACAGAACAAUGACGGUUUCUGCUACCCUGGCUGCAUACUCGCUAUCAAAUUCCCCCAAGGGAGAGAAAGCAAGCAAACGCCUUAGAGUUAUCUACGAAAUUCACAAAAAGUCACUUCUUUGUAAAUUAUUAUGUGCCAGGAAAACAUCAAGAGAAAUAGUCUCAAGAACACAGGCAAAGGAAUCUGGGAGAAGGAAUAUGGGUCUUCAAAACAAAUGCUGUAGUGCUAUAGGCAGUAAAUCUCAUUAACGGGACUUUGUGUCAAGGCAGAAACCAGUAUAGUGACAAUAAUAAUCCCAUUUAUUUACAUAGCGCCAAAUAUAUCGUUGCCACUUUCCGAUAAAACAAAGGCAGAUUCCUCAAUGGCAGAGGGCGGAUCGAAGGACCCAAUCAGUUUCUUCCAUCCCUAACUUCUGUGAAUCUCAGAUAAAUAUACCACUUUGGAGAGAGGGGAGUGGGGGAAUCUCCGAUCUCCAUUAGACACUCAGCUCCAAGUUAGAGACAACAAGCGUUUCCCCUUCAGGCCCCAGAGGAAGGAAAUCAAUGCAUCUGCAGAGAAAGAAGAAGCCAUUGAGUUGUUUUGAAUGAAAAUGUGAUUGGGUUGUGGGGUUUUUUAGAGGAUUGAUCUAAAAGGAGAGUGAGGAGACAAGAAAGGGAGACAGAAGACAUUGGCCUGCUGCUGUCUGACUGGCAGAUUCCAGUUAACACCUUAUCAGCAGAGCAGCAGGCAGCAGCAAAUCCUCGCCCGCUGAAGCUACACAGCGAAAGGAAGAGGGGAGGGUGUUCUGUAACCAGGGACGACAACAGCAACACUCCACAGAGCUACCGGGAGGAUAGAGAGAGAGACACACACACAAUAACCUUCCUUCCCAGGCUGUGCAAGCAAGGGCAGGGGAGGAAAAACAAAUCCACCUGCAGUGUUUCAUUUUUUAUGAAGAGAAACCAUGACUGAAAUGUAACCACAGCUCUGGUCGCUGUAAAAAAACCGAACCCCAAAGCCCUCUCCCCAAGUGUAAUGUAGCAAUUCUGUUGGUUAGCGUUAUUCUUCAAUUGAAGAGUGGGGUAAACUCCUCCAGGACUGAAAUCCCAUCUCCCAGAAGGUGGGAGCACCACUAAAACAAAAGCAAUUCUUCCCUCUCCCCCUUACUCCAUUGCUGCUGCUGCUUUUGUGUUUUUUAAAGAAACAUUGUUCUAGGAAGGAGAGGAGAUUGGAAGAAGAACCCGAGGUGAUUUUGAAUUGUUUUUAAAG
This 1393-nucleotide long non-coding RNA is filed under the name Chrysemys picta bellii (western painted turtle). RNAcentral describes it as "lncRNA (ENSCPBG00000022687.1)". Lineage: Eukaryota; Metazoa; Chordata; Testudines; Emydidae. The record is from RNAcentral.